AUUGAACGCUGGCGGCAGGCCUAACACAUGCAAGUCGAGCGGAUGAAGGGAGCUUGCUCCUGGAUUCAGCGGCGGACGGGUGAGUAAUGCCUAGGAAUCUGCCUGGUAGUGGGGGAUAACGUCCGGAAACGGGCGCUAAUACCGCAUACGUCCUGAGGGAGCAAGUGGGGGAUCUUCGGACCUCACGCUAUCAGAUGAGCCUAGGUCGGAUUAGCUAGUUGGUGGGGUAAAGGCCUACCAAGGCGACGAUCCGUAACUGGUCUGAGAGGAUGAUCAGUCACACUGGAACUGAGACACGGUCCAGACUACUACGGGAGGCAGCAGUGGGGAAUAUUGGACAAUGGGCGAAAGCCUGAUCCAGCCAUGCCGCGUGUGUGAAGAAGGUCUUCGGAUUGUAAAGCACUUUAAGUUGGGAGGAAGGGCAGUAAGUUAAUACCUUGCUGUUUUGACGUUACCAACAGAAUAAGCACCGGCUAACUUCGUG
This 484-nucleotide ribosomal RNA is filed under the name uncultured bacterium. RNAcentral describes it as "partial 16S ribosomal RNA". It matches the Rfam family "Bacterial small subunit ribosomal RNA", at positions 30 to 507 of the family's 1533-position model. The record is from RNAcentral.